Molecule: long non-coding RNA, 495 nt
Filed under: Sorghum bicolor (sorghum)
Lineage: Eukaryota; Viridiplantae; Streptophyta; Magnoliopsida; Poales; Poaceae
Description: long non-coding RNA (SBIC_LNC007440)
Source: RNAcentral
CGGAAGAAUGAUGAACUGGGAAACGUGCAGGCUUCUCCCGGCAACGGCGAUACAGCACCAACGACCACCACCCCGCCUGGCGACGGCGCCAAAAACAAGGUAAGAUCGCACAUUCACUGUUAAACUUUCCAUAUUUGGCAACCAAUUAAUUGCACAAGCUAACCAAGAUUUAGAAUGUGCAGACGGCAGAGGACAAUGUGACUGAAACAAAUGUGCAGCACCAGCAGCAACAGCAGCAGGGGUUCAGUGCGGACGAGACGGACAGCGACGACGACAUCAACAUGGCAAGAGACUACACAGUCUACACUGAAGAAGGCAACGACGAAGACAAAAUGAAGUACAAGAUGGGCGUCCAGAAGCCUGAUGUGAUCGGGAGCAGCGGCAACGUACCUGCAUCACCACCAGCACCAGCACCAGCACCGGCAGCACCAGUGACGGCUGCAGCACCGACGAGUUCAGCUGCCCCAACGGGCAGCACCUUCCUUGCCGUUCAGU